UACGUAGGGCGCAAGCGUUAUCCGGAAUUAUUGGGCGUAAAGAGCUCGUAGGCGGUUUGUCGCGUCUGCCGUGAAAGUCCGGGGCUCAACUCCGGAUCUGCGGUGGGUACGGGCAGACUAGAGUGAUGUAGGGGAGACUGGAAUUCCUGGUGUAGCGGUGAAAAUGCGCAGAUAUCAGGAGGAACACCGAUGGCGAAGGCAGGUCUCUGGGCAUUAACUGACGCUGAGGCACGAAAGCGUGGGGAGCAAACAGG
RNAcentral lists this ribosomal RNA (254 nucleotides) under uncultured bacterium. Its description in RNAcentral is "partial 16S ribosomal RNA". It matches the Rfam family "Bacterial small subunit ribosomal RNA", at positions 524 to 776 of the family's 1533-position model. The record is from RNAcentral.